Molecule: ribosomal RNA, 550 nt
Filed under: uncultured bacterium
Lineage: Bacteria
Description: bacterial SSU rRNA
Rfam family: Bacterial small subunit ribosomal RNA
Source: RNAcentral
UAGGGAAUCUUCCACAAUGGACGAAAGUCUGAUGGAGCAACGCCGCGUGAGCGAAGAAGGUUUUCGGAUCGUAAAGCUCUGUUGCGAGGGAAGAACAAGUACGGGAGUAACUGCCCGUACCUUGACGGUACCUCGUCAGAAAGCCACGGCUAACUACGUGCCAGCAGCCGCGGUAAUACGUAGGUGGCAAGCGUUGUCCGGAAUUAUUGGGCGUAAAGCGCGCGCAGGCGGUCCUUUAAGUCUGAUGUGAAAGCCCACGGCUCAACCGUGGAGGGUCAUUGGAAACUGGAGGACUUGAGUACAGAAGAGGAAAGCGGAAUUCCACGUGUAGCGGUGAAAUGCGUAGAGAUGUGGAGGAACACCAGUGGCGAAGGCGGCUUUCUGGUCUGUAACUGACGCUGAGGCGCGAAAGCGUGGGGAGCAAACAGGAUUAGAUACCCUGGUAGUCCACGCCGUAAACGAUGAGUGCUAAGUGUUAGGGGGUUUCCGCCCCUUAGUGCUGCAGCUAACGCAUUAAGCACUCCGCCUGGGGAGUACGGCCGCAAGGCUG